Molecule: ribosomal RNA, 252 nt
Filed under: uncultured bacterium
Lineage: Bacteria
Description: partial 16S ribosomal RNA
Rfam family: Bacterial small subunit ribosomal RNA
Source: RNAcentral
UACGUAGGUGGCGAGCGUUGUCCGGAUUUAUUGGGUUUAAAGGGUGCGUAGGCGGAUUUUUAAGUCAGCGGUAAAAUGUCCGGGCUCAACCCGGGCCGGCCGUUGAAACUGGGGAUCUUGAGUGGGCGAGAAGUAUGCGGAAUGUGUGGUGUAGCGGUGAAAUGCAUAGAUAUCACGCAGAACUCCGAUUGCGAAGGCAGCAUACCGGCGCCCUACUGACGCUGAGGCACGAAAGCGUGGGUAUCGAACAGG